Rhododendron vialii is the source of this 1758-nucleotide RNA transcript. It is a transcript of the gene named polyubiquitin 11-like, with no coding region annotated. The transcript is spliced from 4 exons. The record is from RefSeq and is a predicted model, not a curated record. NCBI's taxonomy places the organism in Eukaryota, Viridiplantae, Streptophyta, Magnoliopsida, Ericales, Ericaceae.
GGACAGAAAAAGGAGUGUAGUGUAGAAAUGGGUAGCUUAGAGUUCAAUCUCCUUUUUUUUCCCUUUAAAUAACUUUUUGGUAAGUAGAAACUUUGGAAGUUGCCUCACAGCUUGCAUCACGAUCUGACUGCUGCUCGUUUCUCUCAUCUGAUCGAAGGUUUGCUCUACGGUUUCCAAGCAUCUCCAUGGAUUACAGUGAAGAAGACGAGAUGAAUUUGUACUUGAAGGUCAUCAAAACAGUUGCCUUAAAUGUGAAGAGAUCAGAGACAACUAGAACACUGAAGGCAUUGUUUCAUGAGAAGGAAGGCACUCCAGAAAAUCUUCAGGAGCUCUUUUUCAUGGGUAAGCAGCUCAAGGAUGACCACAAGCUGGUUGACUAUGGUAUUCAGAUGAACUCCACUCUCCAUCUUUUCCUCCAAACUAUAGAUAGGAUAACGCUUCUCGUCAACAUACCAUCAAAUGAGAAAACAUUUGGACUUGAAGCAAAGAAUCAUGAAACUGUCGAGAACAUUAAACUCUUGAUUCUGGCCAAAGAGGGCAUCCUACCAGAACAAUACACUCUUUUCCACCUUGGAAAGCUGCUGGAAGAUAACAAAACUUUGACUUCUCUCAAUAUCAAGUCGGGAUCGACCCUUUAUGUGGUUUUCAACCCAAGAGAUGUGAUGUCAGUUUCUGUGAAAAUGCCUAGCGGAGAGAUCCUGAAACUUGAAGUCAAGGUCUUGCACACGAUUCAUGAUGUCAAGGCAAUAAUUCAGAGUAUGGUUGGUUUCUCAGUCAGCAUGCAGAAGCUAACUUAUGCAGGAAAUCUAGUUGAGGACUCAAAGACUUUAGCUUGUUAUAACAUCGAGGAGAACUCCCUCUUAGAGAUGUUGCCUCUUCCCUUUCAGAUUUUUGUGAAGGACUGGGGUGGCAAGACAACAGUUCUUAAUGUGUUCAAAGAGGACAGGGUUGUAGAUGUGAAGAAAAAGUUUCUUAAUAAGCUAGGCUUGCCAGUGACAGUUCACCCCUUUUAUCUUGUGUUCGCUGGACGACUUGAGGAUGACCGAGAUUUAGCUAGCUACAAUAUUCAGAAAGAUUCCACUCUCCAUGCAUCUUUUCGAGCCCGAGUUCUCUCCGCAGAUCAAAUCCUUCCUUAGGCUCGUGAGUAUUUGGAAUGUUUGUACUUUUCUGAUGGGCCAUUGGCGAGCACAGCAUUUCUUGGGCUGAUUUUGUUAUCAAGAAGGAGACAGUGGUAGUAGCUUGGAAGAGCUUCCAUCAUGCUUCAGUAUUUCUGGGAUGGAGAUGGAGCAUGACUUAUUUUGUUCAGUGGGUACAGUACAAGUAACCCUGCUUAAUUGUAUAGUGCACUAAUUAUGUUGAACUAAUGAACCUUGCACUUAGGAUGGCACUCUGUAUUUAUGCUGCACUAUGUGUAGUCCUACUUAUUUUGUAUCUUUCUUCCAGUUCAGAGGAAAAGAAGAAAGAAAAAACAUAUGCAAAUAUAGCCUACUGUAUCCUUUGGAAUGAUCUGUCUCUGAUUUUCAGUUUCUGUGUGAUUCUCUCUCUCUCUCUCUCUCUCUCUCUCUCUCUCUCUCUCCUGGAGCUCUAUUCAGGGGGGUAUGAACUAUGAGGUGAUUCAGAUGACUCCUUCCAUUUGUCAAAUAAGUUUGGCUUUGAUCAUGGGUUUAUAGAGAAAUUUAUCAAAGGAAAACCAAAUUGCAGGAAAUUUCAAAGAAAUUUAACCUUCCCAAGUUUAUCUUUCCUUUUUUCGCCCAUAAU